Drosophila subpulchrella is the source of this 851-nucleotide long non-coding RNA. RefSeq lists it as uncharacterized. The record is from RefSeq and is a predicted model, not a curated record. The transcript has 2 exons. Lineage: Eukaryota; Metazoa; Arthropoda; Insecta; Diptera; Drosophilidae.
UUCUCGAAGUCGUUGAUCCGCAUCCUGGUCACGAUCAGCUCCUGACUAAGGUCAAAGACCCUGGAGCACAGCAUGACGCCCCGCGACUCGAAGAGAUCCGAUUUGUCCAUUGCCUGAGAUCUCUCAGCUUGCGGUUGCGCUCCUCCAGCACUUGGGUGCGCUCCUGGGCGGCCGCCAGUCUCUGGGACAUUCCGUUCGAGAUGGUCAUUUGAUGGAAGACCUCUACACUGUUCGGCGAGGCCAUGUCAGCGAUGCACUCGCCUAGCGACUCGGUGAAGUCCCUGCGCUCCUCCUCCCAGCUGAGUCCUUGCCCAUCCCUUGGCGGGAGCUGUGCGCACACAAGGGCUAAGUUAAUUACUAACCAUCCAAUUACUAACCACCCAAACCAUACCAUAUGCUGCUGUUUCCUGGCCAGCCGCGUGGCGAACAAUUUGAAGCCCUCGCUGAGCAGACGCCAUGAUUGCAGGGAUCGCUGGGGAUUCCGACCUGGAGAGGCCAUCGGUCGGAUAUGUUAGGCGCUUACUUUGGAAUUUCGAUUGCCAACGCGAAUGGAUCAGUAAAGUUGGGUAUAAAAAAAUAGGAGCAAGUGGGGCUGUGGGGUUGUGGGGGAGUUAAAAUGAAUGAACGAUGAGAAAAGCAGUUUGUAAAUGAACAGGUGGAGCAAAGCUGUUCCCUUCCCUUUUUAUUGUAAACAAGUGUGCUCAUAAUGAAGUUCCAAGGAACCAAAUCAUUGCAUAAGAAAGGCAUAAAUGCGAGGCAUUUCCCAAUUAAAAAUCCAAUAUUUUAACUGGAAUUACGACAUCGUUAAAACACUUUAUUUAGCAAAAAUAAACCAAUAUGACUCAAAAAAA